Molecule: ribosomal RNA, 522 nt
Filed under: uncultured bacterium
Lineage: Bacteria
Description: partial 16S ribosomal RNA
Rfam family: Bacterial small subunit ribosomal RNA
Source: RNAcentral
AACGAACGCUGGCGGCGUGCUUAACACAUGCAAGUCGAGCGCGAAAGGGGGGGCAACUCCCCGAGUAGAGCGGCGCGCGGGUGAGUAACGCGUGGGUAACCUACCUCCGGGCGGGGGAUAACUACUCGAAAGGGUGGCUAAUACCGCAUGAGACCACGGGGUCUUCGGAUCCUGAGGCCAAAGAUGGCAUCGGCUUGCCGGUGCUGUCACCUGGAGAUGGGCCCGCGUACGAUUAGCUAGUUGGCGAGGUAACGGCUCACCAAGGCUACGAUCGUUAGCUGGUCUGAGAGGAUGGCCAGCCACACUGGACCUGAAACACGGUCCAGACUCCUACGGGAGGCAGCAGUGAGGAAUAUUGCGCAAUGGGGGAAACCCUGACGCAGCAACGCCGCGUGGGUGAAGAAGGCCUUCGGGUCGUAAAGCCCUUUCGGACGGGACGAACGUUUCGCGGGGCUAAACCGCGAAGCUUGACGGUACCGUAAGAAGAAGCACCGGCUAACUCCGUGCCAGCCGCCGCGGUAA